AAAAGUACCCAACUUCAAAUGCCCAUAAAUUUGUCAUAGCAAAUCCAAAUGAUGAAAACUUUGAUUCCAAAUUUAUAAUCUUGAAAAGAUAUACAACUUUUAUGUUGUAGGUUUUUCCAUUUGAAGCUUGCAUUAUGAUAAUAGAGGGGUUUGAUUAGGCUUGCUUUUGGUGAAUAUUUUCAAAUGUGACUUAAACAUGUUUUGUACUUGGAUUUUCUAGACCAAUUUUCAUUAAUUUCCAAAUGCCAAAUGAAUUUUUUCCCAACAUGACUUUUGUUCCUUAUUUCAAGGGCUUUCCAACCAUUACUCACAAUGCUCAUUUGGACUUACCAUUUGGGAUUUUCGAAGACCUUUCCAUUUAUGUGCAUUUUGGUAUUUCAUGUUAUAACUUGGUAUGCAAGCUGAUUCCAUUUCAAAUGCACGUAUUACUCACAAUGCUCAUUUGGACUUACCAUUUGGGAUUUUCGAAGACCUUUCCAUUUAUGUGCAUUUUGGUAUUUCAUGUUAUAACUUGGUAUGCAAGCUGAUUCCAUUUCAAAUGCACGUCCAAAUCAUUUACAUGUGAUUCUAGAAAGAUAUUUCAUCCACCAUUGGGCCUGCUACACGCUUGCACCGGCCCAUGCAAGCAAAUUUCAAAUGCCAUGCACAUGAAAGAAGCGUGGGAUUCAGCUACCUUGAGCUAUAAAUAAAGGUUCCCUCUCAUUCAUUUGGCAACCUUUUGGAGAUCUGAAUUGCUGUAGCAUUGAAACCAUAGCCAUACCAAAGGAAUUUGAUCAAAAUUUAUCUCACUUUCGAGCUUGAAAUUCAGCAUCAUUAGCUGAUCUUCAAAGCUUUAUUCCUUAACCUUUCACUUCCACUGCAUCCCUAGAGCAAAGAGGAAUCAAGAUCUUGAAGAAAUCGUGGCCUUAAGUGCUUCAAUUCAGAGGUAUACAUUCAAACUUUUGGAUCUAGAACUCUCAUUUCAUGUAGCAUUCUUGUGUUUGUGUGGUUUUCUAAAGUCCUCAUACUUGAGGCAAGCUUGUGAUGCUUUCAAUUUUCCAUUUCAUGAACUUUCAGUUUGAACACCAUGAUCUUCCACUUCAUAUUUCUCUCAAUAUAGGAAGAGUGAGGAAGAUCCAUGGAUACAAUGGUGAUCUCCAUCACACGAGCUUCAUUUCCAUGGCUUUGUUUUUUAUUUUUAUUAAAUUUCAUUUUCCUGCAACUGGUGGCCGGAGGUUGUUGUUCCACCGGAGAAGAUGGUGGUUUCCACCACCAUCACCACGUGUGCACCUUCACAGCCCUUGGAUUUGGUUUUCACGUUUUAAUCGUGUGCAUCCAUUGUAUUUACUUCAUUUAAUACCUUAUAUGGCGCGUAUCACUUGGAUGUAGCGUGUUCUCCAUGAUCUGAACCAUUCAGCCUUGCCACGUCAAUUGAUGAAUCCAUCCUAUGGCGCUGGUUUUUUCCAUUAUUUCUAUUUUCAUUUUAUUUUGAGUUAAUUCCAUUUAUUUUCAAAAAUUCAUAAAAAAUUCAUUUGAAGUCAUAAGAAUAUGAGACCGAUUCCAAAAAAUUUCUUGAAAAAUCUAGUUUCAUAUUUUGAUUUUUAAUUAUUUUUGUGACUUCAUUUGAUAUUUUUCAUGAAUUAUUUGAUUUUUAAUAGUUUUAAUUCAUUUUAAAAUACUUUCUGGCUUUUGAAAAAUCCAAAAAUAUUUUCGUAGCAUUUAUGGAUCAUGAAAAAUAGUCUCAUCAAUUUCUUAUUUGAUUUGAGAUUUAUUUGAGAUUUUAGUCUAUUUUAUGCUAUUUUUAGUUGUUUUUAAUUGUUUUUAAAUACUUUCUGGUUUCAAAAAUUUGUGAGAAAAUUAGUCAAAGUUUGUUUGACCAUGUUGGACCUAUGAGAAUUUAAUUGGACUUGUUGAAGUUGAUUUGAAUUGAAUUUGAGGUUUGACCUUAUUUGUUUAUUUUUUAUUUGCAUUUUAUUUUAAUUCAAAAAAUACCAAAAAAAUAUUGUUGACUAACUUGUUGAAGUUGAUUUGAAUUGAAUUUGAGGUUUGACCUUAUUUGUUUAUUUUUUAUUUGCAUUUUAUUUUAAUUCAAAAAAUACCAAAAAAAUAUUGUUGACUUGUAAUCUUCAUUUCUUUUCUAUUUGGUGUUGAUUGAUGUUGGUUUGAUCCACAUUUGAUCAAUUGGAAUUGAUUGAUGUAUUCUUUUCCCCUCCCUUUCAUCUUCAUCCCAUUAUUUCCAUCAAUGGCCAAUGAGUUAAGUUCUUAUGGUUGGUCUUGACAAAUGAGAGGUUUAACCUUCUUUGAUCCAAACCAAACUCAACUUGAUCCAUGAUUAAGUGAGUUGUUUUGUGUCCAAGAUAGGUUGCCUCUUGGUCAAGCAAAUAACCUAAAGAAAAUACAAGGCACUUCCCAUUUUGUUUUGGCAUGGAAAGUUUAUGGAGCUUGGCUUACUAGUCAUGAUCUCUAACUUGUGUUCUUUGCCUAUAUUUUUAUUGACCGGCCUCAGAUAGGUGAUCUGAGCAACUAUGCCUAAAGGAGUUCAAGAGCAACUAUGCCUCAUGCUUAUGGAGCUUGGCUUACCUAUGCUUAAAUGAGAUCAAGAGCAACUAUGACUCAUGCCUUUAGAGUGCUAAAUUGGUUGAAAAGCAACUAGGCAUCAUGCCUUUAGAAUGCUAAAAUUCCAAGUUGAUCUCAAAAGGACUUCUCUUCAAAACUUAUUCUUUGUCCAUUCCCCUUAUUGUGUUGUGAACUUUUUGAUGUUUGUUUGUGUGUGAUAGGGAUCCCACUUUGAGAUUGUGAAAAGAGGACCAUUGUCAUGAGUAACCAAGUUAAGAGACAAGUCAAAUGGAGAUCCUAUGAGCUUGAAUGCGAAUUAUUGAUUGCUUGUUUAUGUGUUAAGUCCAAAGGAAAUGAGCAUCUUGAAUCAUCUCUAUGAUUCCAAGAAAAGGAACUCCAAGGGUUUAUCUUUCCCUCUCUUAUCUUUGUAUGCUUUAGGACUAGCCCUUCUCUUCUUCUCCCCACUCUAACCAAGCCAAAAUCUUUUUCUUCAAACUUUGACUUUGUUUCAAAUUAGAAACCUAGGCCUUAAGCCUUUGACUACUAACCAAGCCAAAAUCUUUUUCUUCAAACUUUGACUUUGUUUCAAAUUAGAAACCUAGGCCUUAAGCCUUUGACUUUUCAAAACCAUUUUCAUCAAUACUCAUUGUGAAUAAAUCUUAAUCCAACUAUGACUUCAUUUUGUAAAUAAAUCUAACUUGUAAAUAUAACCCAUUUCAAGUUGUUUUGUGGUUCCAAUGGCCACUUGUUAAAACUUUUCAUAAACAUUAGUCAUAGGUUUGAGUUAUCAUAGUGGUUAAUGUAAAUCUCACCUCAUCCUUAGUGAUUGGAUUAUAAGUCUUCCAUGCUUAUUAUAGGGUUAACCACUCACUAGCAUGUUGAAGCCUUCCUCACAUGGUGGAUUGUUGGUUUAGGUUUAGUUUUCUCCCUUUGAUAACAAAAGACCUUAAGGCUUUUGAUCAAAUCAAUUCACCAAUCUUUGAGAUUUUUACCCCGAACUACGAGAUUUUGAUCCUCCUUUGUGAUGGUACGUAGGCAAUGGAUUCAUACAUUCAAACAACAAAUUUGUAAAUAUAAUCUAUUCUCUUCUCACCCCCCCAAUCUUUUGGUACAAAUAUUUUCACAAAUACCAACCUACAACACAUAUUUGCAAAAAGGGUUCCCUUAGAAUACUAAGGAUGUUUUGGGUGCGUAAAACCUUCUCAUUUCAUAACCAACCCCCUUACCCAGAUCUCUGACAUUUUUAUUAGUUUUUGAUUUGAUUUUGAAGAAUGGAACCGAAAACAAGCGAAAAAUCCCUUUCCUUUGGACAAAUAAAAGUGCGGUGGCGACUCGAAUUGUAUGUUUACUUUUGGUUUAGUCAAUAAACCUAAAGGUAACAAAAACCCCACUACAAUAUUCAAUGUAGCCCCUUUUCCAUGUAAAUUACCAUUUUUUAACUUUUGUAAAAGAUCUAUGGGGUCUUGUCAUUUACAGACUACCAUCCUAUUAAAUAAAGUUGAGCUUUUUAUCCAAUUGUUUCUACUCUUAUUUAUUUCAGCUAAAUAGAUUUAAAAUUUUAUGAUGAUUAUAUUGAAAUUGAAUUUAAAUCAUGUUUUCUUAAAAUAAUAAAAGCAGUUACUUUUUAAAUCGAUUUCAUUUAAGGCAUAUCAAUAGUGGUCUGAGAGCAGUAGGCCCUAAAUGAGAAGCAUUAUUGGUUUUCCCCAAGCAAUUGGAGUGAGCUUUGUUUCCUCUCCAGCAGUGUUUCAGCAUCGCCAACCGAGUUUUGUUGGUAUCCCCAGCUGAGUUUGUGAAUGCAUCCCUCGAGUUGUAGGCACGUUGUCUCAGCAAAUCAUUGUUUCCCUCAAGUCUCCAAUGGAUUCCAUUCAGCAUGGAUUCUAGAGCAGUUAUCUGAUCCUCUGUAAGGUUGUCUCCCCGUUUGAUAUGGUGUUGACCUAAAAUUCCCCGCAGAGUUGAUAGUGCAGAUUUUCGGCAGAUCUUUUCCUUUUCCCCAGCCAAGGUUGAGCCUUUGAGAUAGAUGAUCUGCGUUCAUCCUUUACCUCUCUUUCUCCAAUUGGUUACCUCCUGUGAGGAUGGGCUGAGUGUUGUAUUGGUGAUGCAGACCAGUGACAUUUGUAUCCUUUGCGAUCGUUUUGUCGGCAUAAUCAUCAUAUAUACAUAUACAUAUACAUUCAUAAAUUUCAUUAUUGCAUUAUUAUUUGCACUUUGUGAUUCAUUAUUUCUCUUAUCCUCUGUUGUGGUGGUAUCCUUUCCCCCACGCAGAUUUGGUGUGUCUGUCCUCUUUCAAUUGUAGAGUGUCAGCCCCUUAAGCGGAAAUAAUUUUACCUUUCUCAUUCCCCACUGAGUUAUUUCCUCGUGGAUAAUUAUUUCAGCUUCCUCCCCAGUUGAUUAUCUGGAUGGAACCACUCCCCCUGAGUUAUAUCCUUAUCGGGUUGAGUCCUUGAUUAACCUUUUCUUUCUAGAUCUUACCUAAAUAGAUGCUUUUGGUCCCCUGAGAGUCUAUUACCCAAUAGUGGGUAAUACUCUUCUCGAUUUGUGAGUACUUUACUUUUUCCCAAUACCCGGUAAAAGUAAUAUAUUUCCUCUUUCUCCCAGCAGAUUCGUUUUCAUGUUUCUCCAGGAAGUCUAUCCUUGAUAUGUUCAUCCUAACCGAUGACAGAUAUUUUCUUCCCCUGCUUCGAGUCUAUCCUUGAUAUGUUCAUCCUGAUCGGUGACGAAUAUUCUCUCCUUGUGGUAUUCUACCCAGUAAAACGGUAGUUGUAAUCCCUAUUUCUUUCCCCAGAGGGUUAACCCUUGAUAUGUUCAUCCCAAUUAAUUACGGGUUUUCUCCUCUUUGUGGUCUUCUGCCCAGUAACUGGUAGUUAUAAAUCCUGUUUCCCCUUGCGGAGUCUAUCCUUGAUAUGUUCACUUUAACCAGUGAUGGAUAUUCUCUUCUUUGGUAUUCUAUCCAAUAACAGAUAGAUUUGAUUUCUGUUUCUCCCCUCUGAGUUUAUCCUUGAUAUGUUUACCCUAACCGGUAAUGGAUAUUCUUCCUAAUUCCUCAGGUGUUUUAUCCUUGAUAUGUUCAUCUUAAUCGAUGACGGAUAUUCUUCCUUUGAUUUUAUCCUUGAUAUGUUCACUUUAAUCAGUGACAGAUAUUCUCUCUUUUUGGUCUUCUGCCCAGUGACCGGUAGUUGUAAAUCCUAUUUUGGCUUUUCCCCAGCUGGUUAUUCUUACCCAGUGACUGGUAAUGAAUAUACCUCCGAGAUGCCCUCAGCGAGUCAUCCUUGAUAUGCUUACACUAACCGGUAACAGAUGUCCUCCCUUCCAGAUUUGUUAUUACCUUAUCCAGAAACCGAUAGUGGAUAAUACAUUUAUGUUACUCCUGUGUUGAAGAUCAUUUCUUCCCCGGUUGAGUUUGAGUGCGUAUUUCCUCAGUGAGAUCGUUGUUUCCUGCUUGGGUUGAGUAUUUCAACUUUGUUCUGAUCUACCUGUUUCCCCUGCAAAUGUUCCUUUUAUUCCCCGACUGAGUCUUUCCAUUGAUUUGUUUUCAUGGAAUCCCUCGUGUCCCCCUAGCAGUUUUAAGUCGUAGCCUGGCCUACGCGUAACUUUUAUCCCCUAGAGUCUCUGUCUCCCCAGUGAGUUUUCCUUAUGGAAUGCAUUAUGCUCUUGCGGACUUUCAGUCUCUCCAGAUUCUUUUCCCUUGUGACAAAGUUUUCCCCACAAGAUUAUUUUUAGCAUUCAUAUCAUAUGCAUCACAAGGUCUCUUAGGGACCAAAAUUUGUUUCUAUAUGUUGUUAUUUAAGUCCAUUCUACUGAGUCAAUACGAAUAUUUAACCUUCAUCUCCUCAGUUAGAACGUCCUUAAAUAGGGGCAGCUAUAAGACCCCAAUUUUGACCCUAAGAUCCCUCAUGUUAUCUCAUCGUAUGCAUUAGCAUUGAGAUCACACCUUGGCAUCCUCCUUACCCCUCUUUCAUUGGGGUUGCAUUGGGAGAGAUCACCAAGCAUAUUUGAUUGUAUCAUGCUUCAUUUUUCUUUAUUUACUAACCAAAAUACCAAAAAUAUGUCAUUGUAUAGUUUAACUCUUUUGUAGGUAGUGCACAGGCCCACCUAUGCUCUAUCAAGCUCAUAUAUAGGAUUUGAGACCCUCAAUACAAGGAGCUCAAUCAAGAAAUGAUUUACUGUGGCUCUAAGUAUCAUAUAUGGGUCCCCAUGAUCUUCAUAUGUUAUUUUGAUCAAGAGAUCAUCAAGAGUUGGGAAUUGAUUUGCCUUGGAAACCCUAAUUCAUCUAGGUAUCUUGUGUGACUUCUUCAACAAGUUUCCUUAAUAAUUGAUCAAAUAUUUAAAGUUACACUUCAAAUUACACCAUCUUAUGCAUAUAUGAUCCUCCAUGAGUCUCAAAGAUCAAUAAAACUUCAAGUUUGCAAGUUGGUUUAAGGUGGUUGACCAGUGAAAGUCAACUAGCCAAAACUGGGGUUCCCUAUAUCCUACAAUUUUUGUCAUAUGAAAAUGAUUCCAAGAUUAAAGUUACUCUAAAUGACAUUCCAAAAAACUUUCAUGUUGAGUUCUAGAGAAAAUUUUGCUUGGAAAGUCAUUUUUUAUGGUGAAAGAUUAUAGGUCAUUUUGUCUAAACCCUAGCUUGGAGGUCAACUUCCCAAGGCCAUAAAUUGCUCAUUUUUUAUGAGAUGAAAGCCAUUCAAAUUUCAUGAUCAAAUUCAAGAGGUCUACUUAAAAUUUUAUGUUUGGAGGAAGUGCAAAUUCAACUUGCAAAUUCAUGUGCCAAGAGGAAACAUUAUAGGUCAUUUUGGACCAUUACCAUUGAACAAGUGAUUUUCCUCAACUUCUAAAAUGCAUAACUCCUUCAUGCCAAAUCAAAAUAAGGUCAUAUUUGUGACCAAAUUGAAUAGGUUUCAAAUAUAUACAACUUUUAUGAAGGAACUGUUCUCAUUUGAAGCCCAUAGAAAAAGAUAUUUAAGGUGGAAGAAGUGAACAUUUGACUUGGGACUUAGAAACUUUUCAAAUAUGUUUGAUUUCCCAAACUUCCACCUCAAAAUUAAUCAUGAUCCAAGCUUCAAAUGAAAAAGUAUUCAACAUGAAAGUUGUUCCCCUUGAUCUCACCUUUCCAAAACAUCCAAGAUCAUCUCAUUUGGACUAAAAUUGAAGGACUUGCGCAUGGUUUCAUUAUGGGAAGUGUUUUGGCAAGAUUGAACUUCACAUGAUCAUUUUCAUUUGCAUGCUUACACAUGAUGGUUUCAGCAGACUUUGUACAUGAUUUGGAGUUGGAUUGCAUCACUCUUGAGGCCCAAAUGAUUGCCCAUGCACCCAUGCAAGUUAAUUACUAUUUUUUUCCAAUUUUUAAGUGGUGUAAAUAUCAAACACAUUGUCUAUUUAAACAAGCUUAAGGCUUCAGAUUCAUGAUCAACACCUUGCCCAAGCAUUGCUAGACCUCUGCAAACCCUCACUACCAUAGAAUUUUUUGAGAUUUCUCUUGAAAUCGAGCUUGAACUUCACCUUCUGUUUGGAAGUUCAAACUCUAGAAAUUCACUUCCAUUUUCAGUUCAUUUGGUUUCUGCAAGCAAGAGGAGGAGAAAGCAAUCAAAUCUAGAUCAAGAUCAAGUCAAAUUGGAUCAACUCGAAGGUGAAUUUUCAGAAACUUCCACUCUUUGAUUCUCUCUUAUUUCUCCACUAUUCUUGUUGAUUUUUGGUUAUCUGAAGUCCUACCAAUGUAGGCAACAAGAUUGAGUUGCUUUGAGGUUAAAUCGAAGCAACUUAGUUCAUGAUCCUCAAAAUUCAACUCCAUGUAUCUUCUCAUAUACUUGGAGUUAGACAAAAUUGAGGCCAGAUUCGAGCUCCUGAGCAUUUUUUCUUUAAAUCCAUGUCUUGCUUUUUUAUUUUGGUGAUGGUUGAAGGUGGACCAGUCCGGUGAGGUCCACCGAAGAAGAAGAUCAGAGCUCUGGCUCCGGUGAUAUGUUGGCAAGCUUCUCAACCAUAGGAUCCAUUUAAAUUAUUUUAAUCUUAGGCGUUGAUUGUGAUUACCACGUGUGCUGCUCAGUUAACUAAAGAACACAUGGAACAUGCCUUUGAACCAUCUGAUCUUCCACCUCAAUUAAUGAGGGAGAUCAGAUGGUCCACAUAUUUUUGAAUUCCUGAAUUUUCAUUUUUAUUGCUUUAUUUUCAUUAAUUCAUAUUAAUUUCAUUAUUGAUCCAAAAAAUAUGGGACUUUCACCAAAAAAAUUCAAAUAUUUUCCUCUUUCAUUUUAUGAAUUAAAAUUAUUUUUUAGAUCAAUAUUGAUAUUUUUCAUGAUUUAAUUGUUUUUGUGCAUAUUUUAAAUUGUUUAAAAAUACUUUGGACUUUUUAAAAAUAGUGAAAUUUUUUCUCCAAUGUCCUUUGACCUUGUUUGACCUAUGAUAAAUCUCUUGGCCAUUUAUUUGGUGUUUUGAAUAGGUUUUAGGUUUUUGGUAAAACAUAAUUUAAUUUAAUGCAUUUUUAAUUUGUUUAAUUGAAAUAAUUUGUGUUGAGCCAUUUUUAUUGACUUAUGGAGUUUGACUAUUGUGUUUGGGCCUUGGUCAAGGUUGAUUUGACUUUUGUUGGAUUAAAAUCAUUGGAUUUAAGGGAUUGAUGAAAUAUACAUUUCAUCUCCCAAAAUGAAUGAAUGAUUUUAAUUUGAUGAAAUUCCUCCCAUGACCAAUUUGUGUUUGUCUCCUUUCCCCUCCCUCUUCAUAUUCAAUCCCUAUUUAUCUCACUCCUCUCAUUGGUCAAUUACAUCUCAAUAUCCUAAGGCUAAUCGGUUCAUGAACCAAUACAAGUAUGGAUGAGAUUAGGUCCAUCCUUUGAUCAUUUUCUUUUUGUGUGUGGUAUGUUUUAGGAGUAUGGUUCAUCAUGUCAUAUCUCUAACAUGCAUUAACACCAAAAAAUUUAGUGUCCGACCUCAGAUAGUUGUGACUUCUACAUAAGUCAAAUUACGAUUGCUUAACAUAUCGCUAAAUUUUGACACAAAAUGCAUAGCAUUCUAGUAAGUGAAAUUGUAAGUCUCCCCUUUUUCAUGGUAUUGUGUGGAAACUUGGCCUUUUUUCCUUCCUUUGGAAGAUGUCCUGGUUCAAGGAUCCAUGCUUGUGAGUAGAGGGUUGAGUAUUCUCCAAAGAAUGACUUAAAAAGUUGAAAAGAAAAACUCCACUAACAUCUAAUCAACUAACCUUUGACUAGAGGGUUGAGUGUUCUCCAUAAUUGAUUUAAAUUUCAAGUCAUUUACUUUAUGCCAUUUAAAUUCAAGUCAUUUACCAUUUGCCAUUAUACAUAUCAUUUAACUUGUUUAUUUUAAUGUAAUUUUCCCUUUGCUCACUUGAGCCAUAUAUUGUGAUUGUAUAUAUUUGUUUGUAUUAUUUUGGUUGAGCUUGUGGUCUUAGGACCUUAAAAUACUUAAUAAACAACAAAAACCCUAAAAAAUAUUUGUGUGGACUGUUGGAUUUGAUAUGAGCUUUGGACUUAGAAUUAGGCAACAUUUCCUAUGCAAAAGGACUUGGCCAAUGCCAACAUUUUUGAAACCAAGUCAUUGUGACGUUGAGCUUUCAUCUGAUACAAGUAUUGGGAUCCACAUGAGUUCAUCAGCUACAUGGUCUUGAUGCAGGUGUUACUUUGAACCUGUGUCUAAUGCCUUAUUCUGAGCCAUUCAUGGAGUAUGUCAUCUGAUACAUGGGGAAGAUUAUGAAGAAGAUUAUGAAGUUGCUAGCUUGGAUGUGGAUAUCUUUAUUUGAUGCCUUGCUCUUCAUCUUGCUAUUUGUGUAUUGAUAUUUCUUGAUCCUAAAGUCCAAGGGAAAAAUGGGUUUCUAUAUGACAUUCUUGUCUAUUGGAUUGUAUCCCAUUGGUCAAAUAUUUUCAACUCUUAACUUUUAAAUUUUUGCUUAGGAUUAGCCUCUUCAUUUCCUCUCACUUCUUAAAUUUCAAAUUUCUCCCUCUUUUCAAAAACCUUCUUUGCUUGUGAUUUCUAAACUUAGACUUUAUUCCAAAUUAGAAACUUUGACCUUAUGUCAUUGCAUUUUUAAACUCUUUUCUUAAAUCAAACUUGUGAAUAAAUCUAAUCAUAUUGACUUAAAGUUUCAAAAGACAAAAAGAACUAACACUCAUUCAAACUCUUUUAGGCCCUUUGUGCCUCCUUUAAACUUAAAUUUUUGUUAAAAGCAAUUCACUCACUUUAAAAUUGAUACCAUGAACUACGAGGUUUUGAUCCCUCAUUUUUAUGUUGGUACAUAGGCAUAAGUCCGGAGGUCUUGUCAAACACAAAAAUAUAAUCAAUGAAUUCUUUUCUCAUCCCCACACUCUAUUUAUUGCAAGCAUCAUUUUAUACCAAAAAUACAUACACACAUAAAAAAGGGCUCUCUAGGAGUACCUAGGACACUUUGGGUGCUAACACCUUCCCUCUGUGUAACCAACCCCCUUACCUGUAAUCUCUGGCAUUUUAUUAGUUUUGAUUUGAAAACUUCUUAUCUUUGAGUUUUGCUCGUACUUUUCUCUUUUCCCUUGGAAACAAUAAAAGCGCGGUGGCGACUCUGAUUUUAUUGACGUUAAGUUUAUCCAUAGCUUAAUGGUCAUGAAUUUACCGCUACAGUCUGCACGGGAAAAUAUUUCAUUUUAAUAUGCAAUUGAAAGAAAAUAGAAAUAUAGACGAAAUGAACGUAAUGUAAUAGAUAUAACAUUAAUAAAAUCACAACAAAGCAAAAUAUGCAAGUCGAUAAAAACUUCAUAAUAUUUUGAUGAGUUUGAAUAAUAAAAUUAUUAUGUGUCCAACAAAGGAAAUUAAAAACUAAAGUUGUAAUAGUUAUGCAUAAACAAAUGAUACUUGAGGAAUUGGUAGGAUCAAUUGUAGACAUGACAUAACCUAUAAACAUGUUUAAAUAAAGGUGAAUUAAUGAUUUACGAUAAUAAUGGCAGAAAAAAUAUUAAUGUGAUUUAAAAAAAAUAUUAAUAAGCAGAAAAUUAAAGUUACCUAUAUGAUGUUAUGAAAAAAUUCUUUAAAGACAACAUUUGUUGUUUGAAAUAAGGAUUUGUUGUCUUUGUCAUGUAUCAAGAUUUUCAAUCCAGCUUUGCUCUUAACUCUUGAAAUAGCCACAUAUAGUUGUUCGUGGCUGAAAACAUUCUUGGGGAAAUAUAAACCGACAUAGUCCAAUGAUUUACUUUGAGAUUUGUUGAUUGUCAUAGUAAAUGACACAAUAAUUGGGAAUUGUCGUCUGAUAAGUUUGAAUGGCCAUGGAGAUUGAUAAGGAGACAAAUACAUUUUUGGGAUGUAAAUAGUGUUUCCAAUAUUUACUCCUGAAAUAAUUGUUGCUCCGAUUACAUGGUUGACCAACUUAGUAACUCUCAAUCUUGUACCAUUGCAAAGUCCUUCUGAUUGAUCCAAAUUCCUUAUCAACAUGAUGGUUGUGCCAAUUUUCAAUUUAAUUGAGUGGUUUGGCAAUCCAUAAGUUUUUAGACAACUCAAAAAUUAUGGUGUCAAAUGCUCAAAAGCAUCGUUAUCGUUGGCUUCUGAUCUAUCAAUGGAAUCACAACUCAAAUAUUCUUUUGAGUCACUUAAAUUAAAAAUGAAUGAUGCUUAAUGUCUCAAAGUUAAACAUCAUGAAACUAUAAAUGCAUGACAUACCAAAUGUUAUGCUAUGUAUUUACCGUAUGAAACUAUAAGCAUGUAAUUUAUAAGUAUCAUUUUGCAUAGUAAACUAUUCAUCAUAUGUUAUCGUUUAAAACCGGAUGACAUAUAUAAUGCACAACUGAUUAUGUUGUUAAAACAUUGUAUAACCAAUAUAAUAUUUAUGCACAGUUUCUCAUAGAAUGUUGUUGCACUUUUUGUUAUAACACUAAGGAAUAGAAUAUAUAUGCAACAAUUCUAUGAAUAGAUUUACAUAUGCAUGACAUAGAAUACUUUAUCCACUGUUUAUGAUUCAAAAGUGCAACAAUAUUUGUAUUUGUAAACAAUAUAAUAUUUUAGGGUACAUAACAAAACAACAUACCUACAUAUGCAUGUAUCAACAAUUUUAUCUAAUUUUGAAACUAAGAUUGUAUCUUUUGCUAUCAAAAUUUAAUAUACAUGAACUAAAAUGUUAUAUUAUAUCUGUUUUAGUUCUACAUGACAAUGUAUUACAUUUGUUACAUUGUAAUAUGUUUUAUACCAGUUUUGGGGGAAAUAUAUUUUAUAACAACGAUGACAGUGUAUUACAUUGCUUAAAGUAUUAUAGUACUAUCAAAAUGUUGUAAUACAAUUUAUAUUAGUUAAAGUAUUAUAUUCUAAUUUACAAACCAAUGACAAUAUAUUAUAUUGCUUAUAACGGAACUUUAAAAAUAGUAUAAAUCAGAAUGAAGAUAUACCUUGAAGAAGAUUUGUAAUGUAGUCGUUAAUGUCAUCGACUAUUUCAAUAAUUGAUGCCAAAAUAGCUCUACAUUGAAGAAAAUCUGAAUUUGUGUAGUUUUGAAUGAGAUUUGGAUAAGUACUUGUAAUAAUAGCUUCAAUUGGGUCCACAAAAUCUUUAAUGAUUAAAUCUUUUGGAAUAAGUAUCUCAGCAUAUCCAUCACUGGGUUCAAAUUUUUUUUCAUUUCCAACUUGUAAAAUCCAUUCAGAGAAUAGUCGAAUUUCUUCGAAAUUGACUAAAUUUGAGCCACUUUGCAACCACAUAUUUUUUGUUAGAUUAAGAACUUUGCAAUGAUCCAAAAUAUAUGAGGCAUUUAUUGUAGAAUGCACAAUAUCAGACCUACUACCUCUUGGUACAACGGGUAGAAUUUGUCUGAAGUCUCCACCAAAAAUAACAACUUUACCUCAAAAAAUUUGGUUACAUGGACCUUUAUCAUCACUCAUUAUAUCCUUCAAUGACUUCUUAAGAGCUUCAAAAUAAAAUUUAUUUUCCAUAGGUGCUUCAUCCCAUAUAAUGAGUUUUGUGACUUUUAAGAGAUUAGCUAAAUCAAAUUUCUUCUCAAUGUUACAUAUGGAAGAUUCAAGACAUGGAUCUGGAAUUUUGAAUUUGGAAUGUGAUGUUCUCCCUUCUGGUAACAAUAAACUUGUUAUCCCGUUUGAUGCCACAUUCAACACAAUAUCUCCUUGACAACGAAGAACAACAGAAAGUGUAUUCCAUAUGAAAGUCUCUCUGGUGCCCCCAUAACCAUAUAAAAAAAUACUCCACCUUUUUGGUUUGUGACGACUUCCAUGAUUUCUCUAUAAAUGCUAAGUUGUUCUUCUACAAUAAAAAAUAAUAUGUUUUCAUUGGAAUUAUUCAGAAGUCAUAAAAUUAUAUAUGCAAUAUGAACAUGCGUAGUCAUAUAAAGACGACACACUAGAAUAAGGACAACACACUGAAUUGAAUGAUAGAGUAAUGGAAAAAAAUUAUUGCAAGGAAGUGUAAAUAAAAAAUAGAAAUACCUGUUAAUGAUUGAAACAAAUUUUGGUAAAUAUCUUUUUGAGCCGAAAUAUCAUAUUGUCUUUCAUCAUAUAUCAAUUUAUUUCCAAGAAAGUCCAAGACAUAAUUUGAUGGAUAUGGUAUUAGUUUAAAUUCUUUUAAACUUCUUCUAUUUUUUUGAAGUUGUUUCUCAACUUCCAUCAAUGUGAGUUGUUGGAUAUCUUCAUCUGACAAAUAUAAUUCUACAAAUAAUGUUAAGAGCAAAGUAAGUUACCAAAAAUUAGAAAUCCAUAGAUUUGGGAAGAAAAUUCUAAAGUAAUGUGAAUUGUAAACAUGUCGUAUAUAUAGUAAAAUGGGCACAAUAACAGUAGUAUAAACAUGUUAAUUGAAAAGGGUAAAUAAAAAAAUAUGAAUUGUAAAGAUGAGCAGUAUAUAGAAUUUUUUUACAAAAAAGUAAAAUUGAAGGGAUAAAGUAUAAAUUUAUAAUAACCUGAAUUUUGUGACAAUCUUCUUUGUUCAUAUAGAAUGACAUCUGAUAAGUAUAUCCAAGUCUUUUUCCAAACAUGCUCAAGUCGAUUCAUUGAAGGUGACAACAACAUUGUCACAAAAAGUUUGCGCAAAAAAACUCCAAAACCCCAAUUGUAAGCCUCUUUAUUGCCUCAUUGUACUCUUUCUCAUCUUCUAGGAAACCCAAUGCAAAACAUGCGUCUCUAAAGGUAUUGUGUUUGAAUCCCUCAAUUGUCUUCAAAUCAUCAUAACAAGUUGGCCCUUUCUUCACAGUCAACAAUAUCCUCAUAUAAUACAACUCACCAGUUGUUAGAGGCACCCAAAUUAGUCGGCCAAUGGUGUAACCUCUUUUCCGUGGUUUCCAACACCUCUUUCUCCUAUCAUAAACAAAUUUGGAUACAAAUUGAUCAUAUGUUAAUAGUUUUGCUUCUUCAUACUCACUAUUUGCCACAAACCAGGAUGUAAACAUUGACUCUGUGACACUUGGUUUAAGAAGGACAUUCCCAAUUUGCUCAAAGUCUUUGUACUAUACAGAAUUCUCCCCCUCCAUGUGAAAAAAACAAUCUUUCAACUGCUGGUUUUCGACCAUGACUUGAAUAAGAGAAUAUUUUCCAGCAUGCUUCGCUUGGUGAUACAUAACGACAAUCUAGGUAUUGUUUGAUUUCAUCAAUUUUUUCAUCAGUAUGAGAGUUAUUUGGAAUAAUCACUCUUGAGAUUCUAUCAGAACCCUUGUUUAUGUAUUUGAAAAGAUAUUUGAUAGAAGUACUUUGAUUGCACCACUCCAUAUUAAUGUGUGCCUCAUAUUUCAUCAACAAAUUUGGGUUGUGGGGGACAACAUGACCACUAUGAAGUGUGAUUCCAUUUUUUUUCAAUUGUAUUCCCUUGAUCUCUCCUCCUAUAAACUGAAUAUCCAAUCAAAAUUAUCCCAAUUUAAUCAUUCAAUACAAAAUAAUUCUUUCACAUAUCCCAUUCAAACCCUUUUUUUUCAUCAUUUUCAAACUUCUAAACAAAAUCUUAAUUUAAUUAUAUAUCUACAAGAUUGAAAGUCAACUCUAACACUCAUCUUAUUUUAUUAAGUUAAUUAUAUACUCAAUCACAUAUCUUUAAAUUUAUUAAUAUUUAUUUUAAAUUUUAAUAUUAAAAAUUCACAAACAAUUAAUGUGAAACAAUGAACUAUGCCUGUUAGGCUGUUACUAUGACUAUGAGACUAAGGUGUAAUAUUUAUUUCUCAAAUGAUUUGUAAACAAAAUAUAGACAACACCACAUCAUCAUAGAACAAUCCACAUCGGAUAACGGGAGGCGCGUGAAACAAACGAACCACCAUAACAGUAAAAAAACGGACAUAUCUUAUGUCAAGUGAAUACACAACAACGCAACACUCACUAACUCUUAAUUUUGUAUCCAAAUAUCCUGAAAAAUAAAAAACAAACAAAUCUACACAAAUGAUGAACAAGAAAGUCACAAUAAUAAUAAAAAGCCGAAAAGAAAGGAAAAAAAAAAACAAGAUCCACCUCGAACCUCUCUCCACUCUCCCACUACAUUCCAAUCCAAUCACAAUCACCCUCUCUUCUCUCACAACAACAACAACACCACCACUAUCCUCACCCCCUUGUUGUCUCCCAAACCCCAUCCCCAAUUAUCACUCUCUAUAAUCCUUCAAUCAAAUUCCACAAAUUGAUUCUCUCUUCACCACCACCACCAUCACCACCACCACCGCCUUGAACAAAACCAGUGCUUGAUUCAUCACACACAUACACCGAACUCUGUGUGUGUCAGAUUUUGAGAAUCCAAUAAUGAGAGAAGACGAUUCAAAUUGGUUUUCACGAUGGGAAGAACAACUACCUCCACCGGAAGAACUCAUGCCUUUAUCACAAACCCUAAUCACUCCUGAUCUCGCUAUAGCUUUCGAUAUCAGAAACCCUCACACCACGAACACUAUCAACGCUAAUCCGCAACACCAACAACAUCAUCAACAACAACAGCAACAACCUCCACCUUCUU
RNAcentral lists this long non-coding RNA (16392 nucleotides) under Lathyrus oleraceus (garden pea). RNAcentral describes it as "Pisum sativum (pea) long non-coding RNA (PSAT_LNC009856)". Lineage: Eukaryota; Viridiplantae; Streptophyta; Magnoliopsida; Fabales; Fabaceae. The record is from RNAcentral.